This 253-nucleotide ribosomal RNA is filed under the name uncultured bacterium. Its description in RNAcentral is "partial 16S ribosomal RNA". It matches the Rfam family "Bacterial small subunit ribosomal RNA", at positions 524 to 776 of the family's 1533-position model. The record is from RNAcentral.
UACGUAGGGCGCAAGCGUUGUCCGGAAUUAUUGGGCGUAAAGAGCUCGUAGGUGGCUUGUCACGUCGGGUGUGAAAGCUUGGGGCUUAACUCCAGGUCUGCAUUCGAUACGGGCUGGCUAGAGGUAGGUAGGGGAGAACGGAAUUCCUGGUGUAGCGGUGAAAUGCGCAGAUAUUAGGAGGAACACCGGUGGCGAAGGCGGUUCUCUGGGCCUUACCUGACGCUGAGGAGCGAAAGCGUGGGGAGCGAACAGG